RNAcentral lists this ribosomal RNA (513 nucleotides) under uncultured Glomeromycotina. Its description in RNAcentral is "SSU rRNA". It matches the Rfam family "Eukaryotic small subunit ribosomal RNA", at positions 569 to 1085 of the family's 1831-position model. The record is from RNAcentral. Lineage: Eukaryota; Fungi; Glomeromycota.
AGCAGCCGCGGUAAUUCCAGCUCCAAUAGCGUAUAUUAAAGUUGUUGCAGUUAAAAAGCUCGUAGUUGAACUUCAGGCCUGGCUGGACGGUCCGCCUUCCGGGCGAGUACUGUCUGUGGUCGGGUCCUACCUUCUGGCGAAGCGUCAUGGCCUUAACCGGCCGUGGCGGGGAACCAGGACUUUUACUGUGAAAAAAUUAGAGUGUUCAAAGCAGGCAAUUCGCUUGGAUACAUUAGCAUGGAAUAAUGGAAUAGGACAAUGGUUCUAUUUGUUGGUUUCUAGGACUGUUGUAAUGAUUAAUAGGGAUAGUUGGGGGCAUUAGUAUUCAAUUGUCAGAGGUGAAAUUCUUGGAUUUAUUGAAGACUAACUACUGCGAAAGCAUUUGCCAAGGAUGUCUUCAUUAAUCAAGAACGAAAGUUAGGGGAUCGAAGACGAUCAGAUACCGUCGUAGUCUUAACCAUAAACUAUGCCGACUAGGAAUCGGGCGAUGUUGACAAAAUGACGCGCUCGGCA